GUUUUAAUAUUUUAAAGUAAAAUUUUGAUCUUGUAAAUCAAAGAUGGCUCUGCCUUAAUUCA
Molecule: transfer RNA, 62 nt
Filed under: Colpocephalum eucarenum
Lineage: Eukaryota; Metazoa; Arthropoda; Insecta; Psocodea; Menoponidae
Description: tRNA-Thr
Source: RNAcentral